This 8538-nucleotide long non-coding RNA is filed under the name Nicotiana benthamiana. RNAcentral describes it as "long non-coding RNA (NBEN_LNC006635)". The record is from RNAcentral. Lineage: Eukaryota; Viridiplantae; Streptophyta; Magnoliopsida; Solanales; Solanaceae.
AGUAGGCUGCUAGAGAUACAGGUGCCUGUGCAACAAAAAUGCACAGAAGUGUAGUAUGAGUACGAAAACAACGUCUGCCUAAUGAGUAUCAUGUCUAAUCUUGAAGAAGUAGAGACGAGAUGGUCAACUUUGACAGUUACUAGUGGUCCAAUAAUGAUAUAUUAUCAAUGCGAAUAACCAAGGAAUUAUUAAGAAUGACAGUAAAUCCAAGUAAGGCAUGAAUAGGUGAAAGUUCCUUUUUAUAUUAAAACUCUCAGGAUUCACGAUCCAAUAGUUCCCAAUUAUCUCAAGUCGGGGAGAGCAAAUAUCAAUCUCAAAUAAUCUCAAGGAAUGCAAUACAAGCCUGCGCAAAUCAUGUCGAGGUGUACGGCCCAAUCCAACAGAAAUGUAAACUGUGCACUAUCGUGGGUCGAAUUGAUCAAACUAUAGGUGCAUUUAUUACCUCGCUCGCGUAUCGUACAUGCGACGCGAUGAUCAUUAAAUAAAAAGAUGUCCCGCUCGCAAAUCAUACAUGAGACACGGGCACACAUAUACACACGGUCAAAUAGUCGAUUAAGAAUUUAUCGAGAAAUAUUUAUUUCAAUAAAAGUCAAUUUUCCUUUAAUGAUUUAAGAAAAAUAAAGUUUAAUCCUUUUUUAAAUUCAUUUACGGAUUCGAUGUGAUUUAAGCAAUUCAAGCUGUCGAUAAAUUUACAAAUAAUCCAAGUACAACAUGAUUUUGGGUCCUAGACAACCCGGACAAUAGCAUAAUAGUAGCUACGCACGAACUCUUGCCACCUCGUGCGACGUAAACCCUACAAUUGGAGCACAUAACCAAUUAACUCACCUAUGGGGAUAAUUCCCUCUUACAAGGUUAGAAAGGAGACUCACCUCGCUCCGAAGGCUAUAUUCCGAUUCAAGAAGGCGCUCAAACCUCAACAUUCGGAGCCAAACACUCCAAAACUAUUAAAAUAGGGUAAGAACUAGUCAAUACAUGCUCAAAAGUUUAUAUUCUAAUUAUUAAAUCAAUUUCCCAACUUUAAAUGCAAGGUUCCUAAUAUACAUUCCCGGGCCCACGCGCCCGGAUCUCCGAAUUUUUUGAAGAAAAUUGUUACUCAUAACCUAAGGACCAAGAAUAUAUGAUUUUUACUUCGUUCCCUAACAUUUUUUCGUGGUUAAAUCACGUUUUUACCAAAUUCUAGGUUUUUCAUCUAAAACCCUUGAUUUUCCUAUAUUUUCACAUUUAAAUCUACCCAUAAUCUAUGUAUUUAACUCAUAUUGUGUAGAAAAUACUUACCUCAAAGUGCUAGGUGAAGACCCUCUUCCAAAAGCUCGAAGGAUCGCCUAAGAAUAUGAAUAAAACGAGCUAAAUGGUCUAAAUCUCAAAAUUAAUAGCUGGACACAGGCCUCUGAUAAAAGCUACAAAAAUCGCCUAUGAGGAUGAUAAAAAAUGAGCUAAAGGUCUAAAUCUCGAAAUUAAUAGCUGGACAGAGACCUCUAAUGUCGUAUUUGCGAAAUCAGGUUCACAAAUGCGACAAAAACCUUGCAAAUGCGAAGCCUGCUCCCCUCCUGCCAUCGUUGCAUUUGCAACAAGAAGAUCGUAAAUGCGAGCUUCGCAAAUGCGACCCCUAACUGAUUUGGCCCAUUUCACAAAUGCGAUAAGGGUUUCCCAAAUGCGAACCCUUCAAGCCUAACAAAAGCGAUACAACCAUCGCAAAUGUGAAGAAUCCCCUAGCUGCCCAUAUUCGCAAAUUCGAAUGGAAUCUCGCAAAUGGGAUGAUCACAUUUGCGACCAAAACAUCGCAAUCGCGAUCAUACCAGCACCAACAAUCCUAUUUCUUAGCAAAUCACUCCGAAGCUAUCCCGAAUGACACGUGAGCCCUCGGGGCUCCAAAUCAAGCACCCGCGCAAGUCUAAAUAUAUAAUACGGACUUGCUCGAAGUCCCAAAUCACAUCAAGCAAUGCUAGAACCAUGAAUCGUGCCCCAAUCCAAGCUUAAUGAACUUUGAAAUUUCCAAAUUCUACUUUCGAUGUUUAAACCUAUCAAAUCACGUGCGAUUGACUUCAAAUUUUGCAGACAAGUCAUAUUUGACAUUACGGACCUACUCCCACUUCCAGAAUCGAAUCCCAACGCUAAUAUCAAAAAGUCCACUUCCAGUCAAACUUCUCAAAAACCUUCAAAUUUCUAUCUUUAGCCAAGCACACAAGUCAUAUUUGACAUUAUAGACCUACUCCAACUUCCGGAAUCGGAUUCUGACCCCGAUAUCAAAAAUUUCACUCCAGAUCAAACUUCUCAAAACCUUCAAAUUUAUAUCUUUAGCCAAACGAUUCAAAAUUACUUACGGACCUUCGAAUUCACUUCCGAUCGCGCUCCCAACUCCAGAAUCACCAUACGGAGCUGUUCAAACUCGUAAUCCUAAACGAAUAUCGAUAACACUGAAAUGCACUACAAGUCAAACUUAUAAAAUUCCUUCCAUUUCAUAAUAAGCGCCAAAACGAUCUCGGGUUAUCCAAAACCCAAUCCGGGCACACGUCCAUGUUCAAAAUUAUCAUACAAAACUGCUGGAACCUCCAAAUCUUGAUUCGAGAUCGUUUAUUUAAAAAUUCAAUCUUAGUUAAUUCUUUCAACUUAAAGCUUUCAAAAUAUGAAUUUUUUUCCAAAUUAACUCUAAACUUCCCGAAAUUUAGUUCUGACCACGCGUACAAGUCAUAACAUCUGAAAUGAAGCUGCUCAUGGACUGAGACUGCUGAACGACGCGCUAGAGUUCAAAACGAUCGGUUGGGUAGUUACAGAAAAUGUUAUUGCCGAAAUAUGUGUUUGGUAUUGUAUGUCUUAUACUUAAGAAAAAUCGAUAAAUAACCAAAAAAAUUGAAAAACCGACAUAAACUGAAUCGAGAAAGAACUGAAUUAAUUAGUUUGAUUUGAUUCUAAUAUUUUUAAAAUCUGACUUAUUUAGUUUGGUUUCUUUUAGGUAGGCAAAGCAGAUCCAAAAUGAACCAUGAAUACCCCUACAUAUAUAUACACAAUAAAUGGGUGUAAAAUAAUUCACAGUGGUACAGAUUAAGGAAGCAAAGCCCUAAAAUCAACACAAUGAACAAGCUAAAUUGUAGUAAGUAGCUGGGGUUAUAAUACUUGAACAGUAAACACCAAUGAACAAAGUCCAAAUCUUGUCCGUCUCUCUAGAGAAAAGCGUGUGACCCUCGUAUCGUUGCGGGCAUCUCUCCGAAUCAAAAGGGAGCUCUGGAUUCUCAUAAUUCCUCAAAACAAACAGGACUAGUAAUUGAUUUUUGCAAGGAAAAGGACAUCUCUUCAAUCCCCAUUAGCUCCGAUCUGGCUGAAGGACAUUCUUUUCGCUUUCCCCUUUCGUUGUAAGGCCCUUCCCUUUUUGUCAUCUCAAUUAACGCAUACGUGUACUUUUUCAGCUGUAUACAAUGUGGUUUCUCUUUUAUACGGUUUUGCAGAUCUGUUUUAUUCAUUGGUUUAUUUUGUUUAUUAACUUGAUUAUUGACUGUACUCGGAAAAAAUUUGGGAACUUUUCUAUCCUCUCCAUUGAAAAAUAAGGAUUAUGUAAAAUUGAGAUCCGUAUAUUACGUAUGUAAUUGUACGAUUUUUAGUAAUAAAGGAGUUUAAUAUUUGGACUCUCAAGUCGAAAUGCAACUAUUAACAUUGAGGUGCAGUAUUUAGUGAGUUUUGAGAUGUUUACAUUACCUCAAAGUCUUACUGGUUUGGGAUUGAGGUGCACUGACUAGUGAGUUUGUUUGAUGAGUUUGAUGUUUAGAGGCUAUUUAUGUUUCGGGCCUUGUACAAAGCAUAUUGAUGAAAUCGUGUGAUUGCAACAAGCUCUGUUAGUCAGGGAUUAAUAACUUUGUGGAGAUUAAGUAUAUUGGGCUUAAUUAUAAUUAUGGAUCAGGAAGAGGUCUUAGCCUGAUAAGUCUAGAGGUUUGAUACAAUCAACUUAUAAUGUAGUUACGUUGUAUUGAGUGUAAUAUUUUACACAAAUUGUCUAAAGGCAUUAACACUAUCUUUUUUAGAAAGCCUCAAAGUGUUGCCUGCUAUCGUCUAAAACUUUGUUUGCAACAGAUUAUGUGUUUAAAGAAAAGUAUGCAAUCUGUUGAACUAAGCUACAGGGAAGCCCGUUGCACUAAGCUCUCGUUAUGCGCGAGGUUCCGGGAAGGACCGGACCACAAGGGUCUAUUAUACGCAAUCUUAUCGUAUAUUUCUGCUGGAGGUUGUUUCCAUAACUUGAACUCGUGACCUCCUGUUCAGUUGAGCUGUAUUUAUGCAGUUGAGGUUGGUUUGUGCGAAUGAACAGGUUUAUUGAGUGUAUUCUGAAAUAUCAAUACAGAUUGAUAUUGCAUUGACAUCUGGCAAGGAUUGUUGCUCCUUUGAUGAUGAGAAGUGAGAAUAUGAAUGUUGUGGUGCGGAAGAAUUCUGAAUUUCAUAAUCAACUGAUAAUGACAGCUAUAGGAAUUAAACAUAGCUGUUACCUCUGAAAUAUUCUGGAAUUUCUGAAUAACAUGACCUGAUUGCCUUUCUCAUCUUAGAACUAGACAGAGCAAAGUUGGAUUCUUUGCAUGCAGCAUUGACAUUCAUGGUGCCGGAUUACAUCCAUAUGCUACUUCACUACGACACUGUUGCAUUAUCAUUUGCUAGCAUAGUGUUGUUACAUAAUGACCAGUCUAAGGAGACUGUUAUUCUUUGCAUAUUGCGCCAUGUUAUUAAUAUCCUUUUUUUUUAUACAACGGAGUUGUCUAGCAGAUAUAGAGAUGGAUAAUGAAUAUACCAUAUAUGGUAACUCGAUCAUGAACCGAGUUAAUGCAAAUGAAUCUCUUAUGCAUUUAGUUUUAAUUUAAGUGAAAUGAAAGGAAAAAAAAAUAGAGAUCUGCUACUCUGCCUUCUAACCAUGUUGCUACAUUCUCUCGUAUCGCGUAACUGAUUCAUAUGAUUCCAAUCCCCCCCCCUCCCCCCNNNNNNNNNNNNNNNNNNNNNNNNNNNNNNNNNNNNNNNNNNNNNNNNNNNNNNNNNNNNNNNNNNNNNNNNNNNNNNNNNNNNNNNNNNNNNNNNNNNNNNNNNNNNNNNCCCCCCCAAUAUCCAGAAAAUGAUGUCUUUAAUCAAUUUAGUGGAAAGAAAAGGAAGGAUGUGGAAAUGGCUAUUGUUGGCCAUUAUCUUUGCCAAUCAUUUUAUAGUUAUCAUUGUCACUUUGACAUUGUUGGAUUAGUUACUAGUGGUUCUAUUGUUUUCAGUAGUUCAUAUCAUAAUUUCUAGAUAUGUUAUAACCUGGCUUCAUACCUGAAAGCUAGCUAGCAGAUGCCUGAAAGCUAGCUAGCAGAUGCCUGAAAGCUAUAUUAACCCCCUUCUCCCUCCCUCUUUGUCUUGCCCCAAUUGCUGCUGUUAAUGGCUUAGGACCAGUAAAAUAUAGAUUUUCACUUCCAUUUGCUGUCUCCCAGAAUUUAAUGAGUGCUCUGUGCUCUUCGAUAGCACUCAUAUUGCUUUCUACAUUGAAUUUAAGUAGGUGCAGGAAUUGUAUCCGGUUGCAAAAUAUUCGGUGUAUAAGCUAUGGUUCUUGAAGUUAAUAUAUCUUCACCUCAUAGGAGGUCACAGACGCAGACUGCAUUUUCAACUUCAUCAUCAUUAAAAAGACAACAUUCUCAAGGUGAUGAAUUUGGGAGCUGUUCGACUCUACUUCAGCGUCACCGCUUCCUGCUAACUGCACUUGCCCUCCUAGCGUUUCUUUGCACUAUCUAUCUCUACUUUGCAGUCACUUUGGGGGCCGGUGACUCAUGUUCUGCUUUGAAAGGGACUCAAAAAGCAGCAUGCUAUGUGAAGCAUGGAAAAGCAUCGAUGGCCAACGGAAAACUCAAGUUCUUCUAGCACAUUGAUAAAUUUUCUAGCUGAAAUAGCGGUUAGCUGAAUGAUUGCCCCUUUCUUUCCUUGUGAGGGGCACACUAGUAUAGCUCAACGUAACAUUCCUCCUGUAUUCUUUUAGACAUCUGUGCUAUAGUAUGAUUUUUAUAUAUAUCACAUUGCACCAAAUUUGGUCCAGGAAACUAUUUGACAUACGUGAAGCGUUCUCUGUUGCUAAGAAUUAAUCGUGGAUGUUAGGCUCUGCUGUUUGAGUGCCAUUUUCUUGUGGCAUACGGAUGUAAACGACGAUGUGAAUGAACUGGAAAAUAACAUUAUUGAGGUACAAACAUGAAGAUAGCUUGCCAUUCUGAAGGCUUUUAAAAUCCUUAAAAUGGACUAAGGAGCACGUCACCACUCAAUUCCUCCAACUCAGAAUCACGUUUCCACUUGUUCUUUUGUUUUUUCUUGGGAUAACUGCACUUUUGGUCCCUUCGGUUAUUUUGGUAAAUUGUACUUUGAUCAUUGUGAUCAGCAUUGCAUAUCAAGUCUUCUUACACUACUCUCCUUUUAGAUGCUGCUGGCGGUUACAGAAGAUAAAGCAAAUAGGGAUGGCAAUAGAGAGGUGAGAGUGCGGGCGGGGNNNNNNNNNNNNNNNNNNNNNNNNNNNNNNNNNNNNNNNNNNNNNNNNNNNNNNNNNNNNNNNNNNNNNNNNNNNGGGGCGGGGUGGGGCGGGUUAAAAUAAAAGUUCAUUUUUUUGCGGAUGCGGGUUUAAAAUAUUUACGAAGUUACUGCUUUUCAAGUUCCUGUUGUUAUUGUUAUUGAAAUUAUUCUCACUUUUCCUUCAUUUGUAAUGGAUGAAUGCUGAACAAAUAGGAUCUUUACUGAAAUGAAUAAAAUGCUUUAAUUUUUUCUGGCAAGUUGACCUUUUAGUAAAUAGCUUUUGUAAUUUGGGAUGUGUAUCGCAUCCCAGUAUGGAUCUUGAAGCUUAAGAUUCUGAUUCUCAAUGAACCGAAAAGAAUGGCUUUUUUGCUUUACGACAUCCUUCAUCUGUUACUAUUGUAUAUUUCCUCCUCCCUCCCCCUCCCCCNNNNNNNNNNNNNNNNNNNNNNNNNNNNNNNNNNNNNNNNNNNNNNNNNNNNNNNNNNNNNNNNNNNNNNNNNNNNNNNNNNNCUAAAAAUUUUAUUAGUUUAUACAUUUUCAAACUAUAAUCGGUGUCCCACCUUCUUUUUACAUACCUACUCCGAAGGAUACAUGUAUAAGAGAGUUUUUUCAUUUAAAGUGACAUUAUUCGCAAUGAGAUUAUUUAUUUAUUUAGAGUCGCCACUUGGGAUAUGUUUGGCUUUUAGUGUCCCAAGUCACCUGUUUAUCUUGAAUUCCGAAUCGAGGAAAAUUUAGACUCCCUUUUGGAGUUUGGGAACUAGAAAUUUUUUAGUAAGGAAUUAUGUUAACCCGAGGGAAGGUGUUAGGAAUCCUCAGAUUCCGUGGUUCUAGCAGGGUCGCUUAAACUAUCAUAAAUGGCUUAAUAUCUGAUUCUAAAGCAUGUCAUCCAAUAGUGCAAUUUUAAAUUAUUUACCGCUUUUAAUUAGUUAUUUUUAGGAAAGAUUCAACGCCAUCUAAAACACGUCUUGAACUACGUUACAUAAAUGCACCCGCGGUUCACGACACAUUUUAUCUAAUAUUGUUGAGAUUUAGACUUGGGUCACAUAAAUGCGCACCCGUAUUUAGGAAGAUAGAUUUUAACUAACACACCAAGCAGUUACACAUUUUUAAAUUUUGCGAUGGCCAUGAUAUUUGCUAAAUGGCACACCUCGAAUUCUAAGGAUUAAAAUUAAUUAACUGUGGGCCAUGGGUUUUGGGGUAUUAUUCAACAUGGCACAUCUCCAUUUUAUUUUAAAAAAAUUGUAUUCAACUAAAGCAAACUAGUAUGUUCAUAAUUAUUUCCAAAACUAGUUUUCCAUGACCCUCUUUUUGAUUUUUGAUUAAACCAUCAAUGACUUGACUUCGAUUUAACCCCGUCGUCACAUAAUCCAUUAAUAAAAAAAAACUUCUCAUGGCAUAUUAGACUUAACUCACGCCUGUUUACUCCAUAUUUUCAAGUUCAUAAGACAAACUCAACUAAAAUAAGUUAUACAAUUCAUUAAAGCAAAACAAUAAAAUACAACAAUAAAGAUAGGAACCCAAUUGGAUCUACCUAUUUACGACACAAACAAGUGAAUUUGGCAUUUUAAUCUUUCACAGAACAAACAAAAUAAUAUUCACACACAAAACUAAUGGAGAAACCAAUAAAAUGAGUGAUAAGAUAUCAUGCUUUCAAAACAAAAGCAAACAAAAAUAACGCAUAGAAAUAAAAUCGACGAAACAACAGUAAAGAGAAGGGGAAAGACUAGAGGACCUUUAUAGCUAUAAAUUUCCAGCAGGUACAGUGAAGAAGUAGCUCACAAGCAGCAAAAAUUCAAAACCAGUGCUUAGCCAGGACCUCAAACGACAGAACUCUAAUGCGACUUCACUUCGACGUUGGCUUUUGACAAUAUUUUUAGGGGGCUGAUUUUGGGUGGUUUGAAGCUGGUUCAGGGACAGAUGAGAUGGCCCUUCUCCUUCUUGCUCAAGGGGUUGUUCCUUUUUUUUUUUCAUAAAGCACGGCUGAAGAGGAAUUCUUCUGUUGAAGAAGAACGAUGUGGGGAGAAGGGGGUCUCGUGUAUUGGUUUUAAGAAGAAG